AUCAAAUCCUGGCUCUGUCACUGGCUGUUUGCCUCAGGGAAGUUAUUUAACCUCUCUUUGUCUGUAAAACAGGGACCCUAAGAAUUCACGAGAGGAUUAUUGCAAGGGUUAAAUGAGUGAUUCCAGAAGCCAGGCACGUGGUGCAUCCCUGUAAUCCCAGCACUCAUGAGGCUGAGACACGAGGAUCAUCUGAGCCCAGCUUGGACUACAUAGUUCGUGGUCAACCUGAACUAAAUUGAGACCCUGUCUUUAAAAAAAAAAGUGAUUCCAGGUCGCACCUGAGACUCUUGGUAGCUGUUGGCACUGGGAGUUGACCCCCCCCCCCGACUCAUCAAGAAUUCAUGCUCACCCACUGGGGCACCGGUCUGCCAAGAACGCCACCUGUGGCAUCAUCCCUACUGCCACCUACCCCAUCCUGCCAUGACUUGUAACUAAGCAGCCCCUGGCAGAUCCUCUUGCCAACCUCUAACACUUCCUGUUUCUCACACCUGCUCAAUGACAGAGGCGGACCAGGCUGUCUGCUGGCCAGACAGUGGCGAAGCACAGGCCCAGAUAGGGACACAGCUGGUCAGUCAUGCAGCGAUGCUAAGGGGAAACAGGCCCCACACCAAGCCCCUGCUUCUCUGCUAACUAGGCCUGAUUUGGGGAGGUCUCUCUCUGCCUAACUUCUUGGUUCUAACCUGCUGGGGAGAUCUGGUUCUCCAUUGGAUGGGGUGUGGAGGGUGGAGGCUAACACCACCCCUGCACUAGCGUGUGUGUGAAUAGAACAAAAGCAGUAAAAUGACCUCAGUUGGGUUUUGUGGUUUUUUGCAUGGCUGGACUGGCAUUUCCCUUGAUGUUGGCUACAGAGGAAGAAUCGGUCCAGUUAAUCCUAGGAAAAUGACUUGAGACCAGCUCUCCAGGAAGACUAAGAAACUGAGGUCUAGAGAGGAUCGAUGAAGACAAAGGACCUCAACAUUGUCUUCCAGCAAGGCAGUCAGAGAUGAGGUCUGUUUUAUCUUAUUUGGCCCUGGAGAUGGACUCUACCACUGAGCUGCACUGCCAACCCCUGGGAUCUGUUUUGGAGUCAUUUUAAGGAGGCCUAUAGGCACCACCUGCAAGCUGUUCAUCUAUCCUCUGAGUUGGAAGAGGAAAGGAAGACCUUGCCAAGCCCUCCAAACCUGCUUAUAUUCUCUGUCUGGGGGAGUCUGUGCUUUGUCACAGAAUGGACUCCUGGCUUCUCCAUCCUGCCUAACCAAAGAGUAGCUGGGGGCUUCUCUUAGUGAGAACACCCCUCAUUCUGCUUCCCUCACCCCCAAGAACCCUAGGAAAUGAAGCCUGGGCAUUCCGUCCCUGACUGGUGACAGGAGGAUCUGGCGCAGAGACGUCUCAAGGGGAGGGGAUGUCUGAGCUGUGCUCAGAGGACAAUAGGGAGUUUUUCAGGAAGGUGAGCUUCAGAAGGGCAUUCCAGCCUGGGAGCCACCCUGCUGUGGCCCAG
RNAcentral lists this long non-coding RNA (1477 nucleotides) under Heterocephalus glaber (naked mole-rat). RNAcentral describes it as "lncRNA (ENSHGLG00100051904.1)". Lineage: Eukaryota; Metazoa; Chordata; Mammalia; Rodentia; Bathyergidae. The record is from RNAcentral.